This 253-nucleotide ribosomal RNA is filed under the name uncultured bacterium. RNAcentral's name for it is "partial 16S ribosomal RNA". It matches the Rfam family "Bacterial small subunit ribosomal RNA", at positions 524 to 776 of the family's 1533-position model. RNAcentral also lists the same sequence under 1 other name. The record is from RNAcentral.
UACGUAGGUGGCAAGCGUUGUCCGGAUUUAUUGGGUUUAAAGGGUGCGUAGGCGGUCCUAUAAGUCAGUGCUGAAAUAUCCCGGCUUAACCGGGAGGGUGGCAUUGAUACUGCAGGACUUGAGUAAAGUUGAGGUAGGCGGAAUUGACGGUGUAGCGGUGAAAUGCUUAGAUAUCGUCAAGAACACCGAUAGUGUAGACAGCUUACUAAGCUUUAACUGACGCUGAGGCACGAAAGUGUGGGGAUCAAACAGG